RNAcentral lists this ribosomal RNA (261 nucleotides) under uncultured bacterium. RNAcentral's name for it is "partial 16S ribosomal RNA". It matches the Rfam family "Bacterial small subunit ribosomal RNA", at positions 1239 to 1500 of the family's 1533-position model. The record is from RNAcentral.
CAAAAGUGCAGCAAUACCGUGAGGUGGAGCGAAUCACAAAACCCGGUCUCAGUUCAGAUUGCAGGCUGCAACUCGCCUGCAUGAAGUCGGAAUUGCUAGUAAUCGCGAAUCAGAAUGUCGCGGUGAAUACGUUCCCGGGCCUUGUACACACCGCCCGUCAAACCAUGAGAGUUGGCAACACCCGAAGUCGGUAGUCUAACCGCAAGGAGGACGCCGCCGAAGGUGGGGUUGAUGAUUAGGGUUAAGUCGUAACAAGGUAGC